This 4845-nucleotide long non-coding RNA is filed under the name Mus pahari (shrew mouse). RNAcentral describes it as "lncRNA (MGP_PahariEiJ_G0002255.1)". Lineage: Eukaryota; Metazoa; Chordata; Mammalia; Rodentia; Muridae. The record is from RNAcentral.
GACUCUUUAAAGUGCGUCAGAGGGAGGCGAACGCCUGGGAACCCGGAGGCCUGGAUCCGGGCCCAGAAUGGAACGGAGUCGGCGCCACUGCCCCGGCCGUGCCUCCAGCCGCCCGCCCGGCCGCCGACCUCUCGGUGUCUUCGCCCUGCGCUCCGGGCUAGCUCCCUCGCUCCCGCGGCGCCCGCUGCGGCUUCUCUCCUCCUCCUUCGCCUCCUCCGCUUCCCUCUUCUCCUCCUCUUCCUCGUUCCUCUCCUCCUCUUCCUCCUCCUCUUUCCCCCACCUCCUCCCCCUCAGCCACCGCCUCCUACUGCACCAACACCACUCCCUCCGGGGCACCCGGGUCCCUUCAGAGUCUCGGGGCUGCGCUGCCUUUGCUGCGGACCCCUGGAUCCUAAGCCUGCGGCGCUGGAGCUGAUGGGACUGAAGCACCGACGGACACGCAGAUUUCUUCACUCCCUAAGCUCCGCUGCGGCUGUCCCCUGGAGGCCCGCGCCCCGGUCACUGAGAUGGCUUUGGGCGCCCGGCGAGGAAGAGCCGAUGAGGCAGCUUCUCAGUCAGCACACAGUAUGUGCCCAGCUCUGAAUGGAAUACUGAUUCAGACAAUGGUGCCGCAGGGUGACAAGGCCCUCCAGGAAAACAAAAUAUAUGAACCAAAUGCUGAAGAAAGGAAGCCACGGUGUGGUCCAAAACUAACAAGUUGUUGUACAGCUUACAACCAUCUACCAUUCACCUGCUCAUCGGGACCUCAAGCAUCCUUGGCAGAUUUCCCUAUGCUAAGAAGGGAUAUCCUAAUGAUCCCUUACUAACUAGAACACAUCUCCAUAAGCACUGUCUCCAAGCCAGGACUCAUCCAUCAGCGCAGCCCCGUGGGAGGUGUGAAUAAAGGCAUCUUCGGAGAAGUGCAAAUAUGUUUUCGUCGUCACACAGGACCUAAGCUGAUCCAAUGGAGGUGAGCUGCGAAUGCUACAGCUUCAGGAGUAACCUCCAGUGACUGUUUUCAUUUCCAACCAGAUCAUCCCCAGGGCCUGUGACACGCCAGGCUCUAAAUGCCGAACAUGUCUUAAUCUCAUUUCUUCUCCCAACAACCCUUUGAUAGAGGAAGUCCUAUUUGCUCUACCGAGAGGGAAUCUGAGUCUAAGUUAAGUUCACUGGUAUAUUGUUGUGUUUCUCACCAGACUGCCUCUGGGUGGGACAAGCACUCUUCUGUUCCCAUGAUGCCAUGGCCCCUUAUAACUAUAGUUGUACUUGCUGCAAAGAUAGGGAAUCACUUCAUAAAAUAGCUGCACUGAGAUAUCCACAUAUUGUAUUAGUUAUGCAUUUAAAGUUUGUGUGAAAACCUUCAAUUGUCAAUUUGUAUUCUUUAGGAGACAUACUUCUGGGUGUGUCUGUGAGGAUGUUCCAGAGAGGUUUAACUGGGAUGGAAGGCCUGCUCUGAAUGUGGACGGCACCAUUCCAUGAACUAGUGUCCUAGACUGGAUGAAAAGGAAGAAGGAGGAAGCUGCCUGAGCCAUCGCUCGUCUCUGUUGUCUGAAUAUGUAAGCAGUGGCCUCAUUCCUCCCCAUGUAUUUCCUGAUGUGACAGACUGUGUCCCUCCAAACUGAGAGCCACAUGAUAGACUGUGUCCCUUCAAACUGUGAGCCAAGCAAACCUUCCUUCCUUUCUUAUGUUGCCAGGAGUUUUGCCACAGCAAUGAAAAAAAAAAAAAAACCCACAAGGUGAAAGUCAGUGGUUAACAUACAGGGAUGCAUGCAAGCCUCACCACAGCCAACCCAUGAUGGUGCCCAUCUCCUUAAGGGAAAGUCAGUGCCCUAUAAUGAUCAUUUCCCUCUGCUCCCUCCAUCAACCCAAAGCAACCACUAAUCCUUUUUUUUUUUUUUAAUCUUUAUGGAAUUACCUAUUCUACACAUUCCAUGUAAACAAAAGCACACAUAUGACUUUUUAUGUCUGUCCUCUUCCAAUCUCAUAAACAUUGCAGAAUGUAUCCAUACAUUACUGGGUGAAUAACAUUUCACUGUAUGGAUAAGCCACAUUAGGAAUGAUGUUUUGAUUCUCUUGAAAUACAGAUUAAUGUCUUUAUUCAACAAAUGAUGUGUGAUUAACAGAAACCUGUUAAGGAUUGUGAUUUCAGGGCCAUAAAUGCUUCAUUCCUCGGGUCCCUAGCAGUGCUGGGUUGUUUGUUUGCUUGUUGCUUGCUUGCUUGCUUGCUUGCUUUUAUCAAGAGGCUGUGGUGGACUUUAGUAAGAUUUUGUUUAUAAACUUUUCUACUUUUGUUGAUAUGAGGUGGAAAUCCAGAAUAUUAACAGGACUGAAGAAUCUUUCCAGGACUCCUUAGAAAUCACAGAAAUAGGAACUGAGGCGAGAUCUCAGUAAGUAAAUGCCUAGCAAUGAAUCUCCAGAGCUCCCACACAUUUGUAAUUCCAGCCCUGUGAAGGCAGAGGUAGUCCAAUCUCUGGGCUGACCCCAUGGAAAGUUUCCAAGUUCCAGGCCAAUGAGAAGCCGUAUCUCAAACAACAACAAAAAGUCAGAUGGAGCCUGAAGUACUACUAUGCCUGCAUAAAUCUAAACACAAAAAAGUAGCAGAAACAGACAGGAACAGCUGGGGCAACCAAUCCAGGAGCCAAAAGGCAAGCUUUAAACUCUAACUUUUCUCCUAGACUCAACAAAUGGACUCACUAAACAGGUCAUUGAAAAUGACCUUAAGGGGCUGGAGAGAUGGUUCAGUGGUUAAGAGCACUGACUGAUCUUCCAGAGGUCCUGAGUUCAAAUCCCAGCAACCACAUGGUGGCUCACAACCAUCUGUAGCAAGAUCUGAUGCUCUCUUCUGGUGUGUCUGAAGAAAGCUGUGGAAGGAGGGAGGAAAUGAAAUGAAAUGCCCUUAAUAUCAAGCUAUGAUAGCCUCCCAUCAAAAUACGCCAUGUUUCAGACCCACCCUUGGUUCUUGGGGCCAGAGCCCUGGAUCAAGGUUUUAAAGGUUGUUUUCAGUUAAUCAGGCAUUCAAUAGAGCUGGAGAACUAUUCCCUCCCUGCCCCACUAGAACCAUCUUGGGCUGAGAAGCGGCCUAGGGAACCAGAAGAAGGGGAUAACAGAGGGAAUUCUUGACCUAUUUAUCCCUCUCCAGAGUAAAACAUUCAGUUGGAAGACACUCACAUGCUGACUUUGAUUCAUUAGUUAAGGCUGUCUAGAGGGUUGUGCUGAGUAGAUUUUGAUCUGGGAUCAAUUAGCCAUGUCUGCACUGUGCAAAGGAGCAGGGUACCCCAUCUCCCUACACACGGCUACUCUCCACAGUACUCUCCCAAGGUCUCUUGGGCUUAGACAUCCUGCAAUCUUAUAAUUUCUCUCACCUUUGUUCUUUUCCUUGUCUUCUCUGAGAAUCUACUUUGAAGCCGUUCCCAUCCACCAGUAACAGUGACCUACAGUGGACUGUACAAACUUAAGAGGCAUGAAAGAGUGAGACUGUGACAUGUAAGUUGGAGACAGCCCAGGCUAGAGGAGGCUAGCUAUCCUAGAGAUGAGAAGUCAGUAUGAAAGGCUAGUCAACACAGAACCGAAUCUCACCGAAUAAAGCAGCUAACAUGGGUAAGGUGAUCACAUCAGGUUAUUCACCACGAGACAAACACAUGCUAUUGCUUCCAUCUACCCAGAUAGAUCAGGAAGGAUUGGGAAAGUAAACUCGGUCUUUAAUAGAAACAAAAGAACAAAAACAAAGGCUUUCAUAAGCUGAUAAGGCACUUGUGUAAGCACAAGAACCUAUGUUGGAACCCUAAAACUUACACAGAAAUGCCAGGUGUGGUGGCAUGUACUUCGAAUUCCAGUGCUGAGGAGACAAAGACAAACAGAUCCCUGGAGUGUGCUGGCCAGCUGGCCUAGUCAAAUCAGUGAGUUCCAUGCUAAGUGAGAGACUCUAUUUCAAAAACAAGGAGGUCAGCACCUGAGGAAGGAUACCAGAAGUUGAUCUCUGGCCUCUACAUGUGCACAGACACAUACACCAACAUGUGAACAUACCUGUGCAUACACACAGUUGCACUAAAGAAGUGUCAAGAAAGAUCUGGGAUAUAGCACAGUGGUUGGAAGAAUAGGAAAAGCAAAUAGAAUUUCAAGCCAAGGCAGACUGGACAGGUAUAGUGCCUCUGUCAGUGACUAAGAGGCUUAUCUAGUUCCUCCCUUGAGGGGUCCUUGAGACCCUAUGCUGCCCCGGUCCUAGGGGAUUGGGGAAUACCUGGCACUGAGUGAUCCUGCUUCCUCAAAACAACCCAGCAUCCCGCGUUCUCCACUCUGAGUACUGGGGGGCACCAGCCUGGGCCUGUGGACUGUUCAGAAACGGGCCCUCCCAUUAGCAGGGCAGCGGAUCGCUCUCUUACCACGGAGGCUCCGCGCUCACCAGUUCCAAUAACACGAUUAGUCAUUUUUCAUUCCUGAGAUAUCUGCCCAUGGGUGGGUGUGUGUGUGCAUGUGUGAGGGUGUCUGUGCCUCUCGUGGAGGGGAAAAUCCAUAGUCUCUCUCUUCUGCCCGAAUUAAUCAAAUAAAUCUUCUGUAAGAAGCUGCUAAAUGAGUCACAGAUGGCUCUGCCCUUUUACAGGUUACAGAAAGCACCCGUUACAGUCUUUUUAAUUUAUCAGAGGAAAAAAAGAUGCCCUCCUGUGCCCCUUCCCUCUCACAGUAAUAAUCAGAACCAGCCUAUUUUCCGAGGGUCCAAGACUCAUUUUCAAAAAAAAAAAAAAUGUGUAUCAAUAGAUGUAACAGUGGGAAGACUAUUUUGCCAAGUUCCAGCCUCCAGCACGGCAAAGGUGCCCUGGCUGGGGAGAGCAUUUAUAAAACCACAUUUAAUAAAAGAGAGUGUUAUAUUAA